CUCCUUCCGGGUGCAGGCGGGCCUGGGCAGUCUGAGUCCUACCUCAGCCCCCACCUCACCUCCCUGCAUCCUCCUAGCAUCUCUGCAGGGCUAGCCCAGAGGUUGGCGGCGGAAGGCCCACAGCUCCCCUGGCUCCAUGGGCAAUGACCGAACAGCCCUUCACCUCUCUGGGCCUUGUUUUCUCAAACUGAAACUGGAGAGGAUGACCCCAGCCUGGGACCUUCGAGGGCCUCAAAAGGGCUCUGGGCCUUGCGUGGCUGGACGAUGAAUGUGAUGGCUGGAACUCAAGCAGCCACAGUGGAUCAUAAGGGACGGUGUCUUGCUAUGUUGUCCAAGCUGGUCUCAAACUGGCCUGAAUCAAUGCUUCCACCUCAGCUGCCAGAGGAACCGGGAUUACAGGCCUGAGCCACUGCAGCCAGCCAGUUUGUUAUUUUAAUGUAAAUUCUUAGUAAACAACUCAGGAGCUCUCUUGUCCUUUUAAAAUCCAUUUCAACUUCUGCUAAUCGGAGUGUAUAUUCAGGGCAACUUGAAUCUGUGCUCCUGGGAUGCAAUCCUCAAGCUUGGCCCAAAUAAAGUCUCCGCUGAUAUUAA
Molecule: long non-coding RNA, 591 nt
Filed under: Homo sapiens (human)
Lineage: Eukaryota; Metazoa; Chordata; Mammalia; Primates; Hominidae
Description: HSALNT0363200
Source: RNAcentral